This 421-nucleotide RNase P RNA is filed under the name Spirochaetaceae bacterium. RNAcentral describes it as "RNase P RNA component class A". It matches the Rfam family "Bacterial RNase P class A". Rfam says of the family: Ribonuclease P (RNase P) is a ubiquitous endoribonuclease, found in archaea, bacteria and eukarya as well as chloroplasts and mitochondria. The record is from RNAcentral. Lineage: Bacteria; Pseudomonadati; Spirochaetota; Spirochaetia; Spirochaetales; Spirochaetaceae.
CGGAAGGGACGCUGGUCGCUGGAGAACCUGGAACAAGGGUUUUCCAGAGGAAAGUCCGGGCUCCUUCGGAAAGAAUGCCGGUUAACGGCCGGGCAGCGGAGACGAUGAGUCUUUCGUUGACAGAAAGUGCAGCAGAAAAUAUACCGCCCUCGAUUAUUCGGGGGUAAGGGUGAAAUGGCGGGGUAAGAGCCCACCGCGCUUUUGGUGACAAAGGCGGCAAUGCAAACCUCAUUCGGAGCAAGGCCAAACAGCGGACGUAUUUUCCGGUUCUGCGUUCCGGUAACGGAGUGCAGACGUUUGCGGGUAGGCUGCUGGAGAUACGGGGUAAUCCGUAUCCGAGAUAGAUGACCAGGAUGAAAGGCAAGGGCAUAACGUUUUUGUCUUUCAUUUACAGAACCCGGCUUAUUGUUCCUUUCGCUCU